Molecule: ribosomal RNA, 450 nt
Filed under: uncultured bacterium
Lineage: Bacteria
Description: partial 16S ribosomal RNA
Rfam family: Bacterial small subunit ribosomal RNA
Source: RNAcentral
GUGGGGAAUCUUCCACAAUGGACGAAAGUCUGAUGGAGCAACGCCGCGUGAGUGAAGAAGGGUUUCGGCUCGUAAAGCUCUGUUGUCGGGGACGAAUGUGCAGUAUUUGAAUAAAGUACUGCAAUGACGGUACCUGACGAGGAAGCCACGGCUAACUACGUGCCAGCAGCCGCGGUAAUACGUAGGUGGCAAGCGUUGUCCGGAAUUAUUGGGCGUAAAGGGAGCGCAGGCGGGAAGGUAAGUCGGUCUUAAAAGUGCGGGGCUCAACCCCGUGAUGGGAUCGAAACUAUCUUUCUUGAGUGCAGGAGAGGAAAGUGGAAUUCCUAGUGUAGCGGUGAAAUGCGUAGAUAUUAGGAGGAACACCAGUGGCGAAGGCGGCUUACUGGACUGUAACUGACGCUGAGGCGCGAAAGUGUGGGGAGCAAACAGGAUUAGAAACCCUUGUAGUCC